Long non-coding RNA from Prionailurus viverrinus (fishing cat), 732 nucleotides. RefSeq lists it as uncharacterized. The record is from RefSeq and is a predicted model, not a curated record. NCBI's taxonomy places the organism in Eukaryota, Metazoa, Chordata, Mammalia, Carnivora, Felidae. The transcript is spliced from 4 exons.
GUCAGCUUCUGGAGCUGCUUUCGCAUCUUGAGAGGGUUGAACAAUAUCUACCCAGAAGACUGGAAAAUAUAUAUGAAUAACAGUGUUUCCUUCAAGACGCUUAACAAUACAUAUCGGUCAAAAGCAUCUAUUUGAUGAUCAUGUUUGUUCCUUCGUUGACUGAGCCAAAUGAAGGGCCUCGAGCAGAAAACCAGACCCAGCAUCUCUAAGGACGGUAUGGUGGUUCCAAAGAGCGCAGCCCCGGAGCUCUCAGCUGAAGCUCAGCGUUGGCAAUGCAGACAGAGCUGGGAGAAACCCAGCCACCAUCACCACCACCGCCGCAGCAGGCAGGCCAUUGCCUCAGGCAGCAAUAAAGGCUCCCCGAGGCCUUUUGUCAAUUGCCCCAUGAACAGAAAAUAAACAUCUCCACGGCUGCCAUUCAGUGGACAUCCUGUUUACAUGCAGCCACAGGAAACCAGUGCAGAGACCAUCAGGAAAUUGUCAAAGAACAGCAAGAAGUAAAGAGGAUCGAUUCCUGGAGCCAAACAGGAUUGCAGGAAAUAACAAUAGCAAACCAGCAAAAAUUCAUGUUCCAGGGAACCCAUAUUUGAAUUCUCGCCAUUGUUCAAGCUGAAGAUGAUGAACCAUCAUUGCCUGUUUCCCUAUUCAUUAUCCCGUCAACAUCAAGAGCUGUUCCCAGAAAAGCUCUCAAAUUCACCUUUUAUUAAAGGCUACGAAUGAAUGAAAAAAAAA